Molecule: long non-coding RNA, 2942 nt
Organism: Parus major (Great Tit)
Lineage: Eukaryota; Metazoa; Chordata; Aves; Passeriformes; Paridae
Source: Ensembl
GUCCCCUCCCGGUGUCGCUUCUCGCCCCGCCGCCCCCCCGCUCCCUACCGGGCCCGCGGCCCCUCACGCCCGCCCAGCGCGGGGGCGGUGGCGGCGCGCGCGGGUGACGUCAGGGCUUCUCACCCCGCCGCCCCCCCGCUCCCUACCGGGCCCGCGGCCCCUCACGCCCGCCCCGCGCUGCCCCCGCGGGGUCCCGGCACCCCCGCAGCUCCCCCGCCACGGCGGGGCCGGGGGCUCGGUGCAGGGAGCGGGGCGCGCUGAGCCGCCAGCGGAGCUCCCGCCCCGUGACCACAACGCGGGGGAACCCCCCGGGAGCGCGGAGCCCGCCCCACCGCGCAGGUGAGCGGGGCUCACCGGCUCACCCGCUCCCCCCUCCACUUCCCCGGGCUGCCACGCCUUUGUCUCCGGUCUUUGUCUGUCCCGUCCGUGCCCGGGGCGGGGACCGCUGCUGCCACCAGCACCCUGCACUCUCGCACCCACCUCCUCCUUAGCGCCGGGCUGCCCCGCAGCACGCUCCCCUGGCAUGCCCCUGCACUCCCCCCGCACGGCCGGAGCCCCUCCGCCCCUCCCAGCCCCACCUCCUCCCGCACCAUGCACCCCGGUCCCCCGGGAUUCCCGACGUCCCCGGUUCCUCUCCACAUUCCCCCACUGCCUUCCCCCUGUCUCCUCCUCCUCCUCCUCCUCCUCUCGGGUUUGAACACCCCUUGCCCCCCGCAGACCUGCCUCCCCUCCGCCGCUCGCACAGCUCUGCCGUGCCCUGCCCUGCCCUGCCCUGCCCUGCCUGCCGGGCUCCGCCAGACCGGCACCUCCGCACAGGGACUGGGGAGGAGUGGGGGACACCUUCUCACUUUCCGUGCGCCCCGGAGGAGACAAAGACAGGGGGUGACGGGGAUCCCCGGUCCUGCCGUCGUCGGGAUGCGCGCGGAGCUCCGGGCACGGCGGCAUCGCUCAGCGGUGCGAGCGAGCACAGAGCUCGGACAGCGCCGGUGCCGGGGCGCGGUGCCUUCGGUCAGAUCUAUUGUCACCCGUGCAGGGGAGCGGGCUCCGGACUCUACCGCUGCCGCCGCGGCUCUGUCACACGGGUCGCCUCCGUGCCCUGCGCCGUGAGCCUCGCAGGGAUGUGCGGUACGGGCUCCGGGGCUCGCGUCCCACUGUGGGUCACUCCUGCAAGCUCCCUCCCCAGAUCGCUCCUGGAAGCAAAGUCGCCUCGGACAGAGGCACCGUCCCUCGCAGGGCCUGAGCCCCUCUCACAUCCCAGGGGUAUGUCCCUGCUCCGAGCUAGAGAUGCCGAGGGGCGACGGAAGCUUUUCCCACCGAGUCAUUGUGUUUACAGAGCCGUGUGCUGCCAUGCACCGAGCCCCUGGGUACCCGCGGCUUGUUCUCUCCUCUUCCUCUGUUGAUAAACGUGAGAUCUCAUUUCUGAAUUAAAUCAAUUUGGCAUCAGUUAAUGGCUUAUUGCAGCUAGUAAUUCAUCACGUAGAAUUUAAGUGACACUUCUCCAAUUCACACCUGAAGUUUUCUGUCAGCCAGAGGGUUUAAUGGAAGUGGUUUUGCAUUCCCGUCUCCUCUCCCUUGAAGAAGGAGGCAUUAAUUUUAUAGGUAUGGUUCAAAGUGAGAAUGUCAUUCAAGGAAGAAUGUUGAAAGCACAGCCUAACUGUUCUGCCAAUCGGGACACAUCCAUGUCUCCCUCGCAGCAAAGAUUAGGGUAAAUCUUUCCCAUUCUUCCCUGUAACACUAGCGAGUACUUUCCAGCCGGGUGAGCAAUGACCUUUCCUAUUGAUUGUGUCCCAUUUGUCACCUGGCAUUGUGCAUGAAACUGAAGAGUCUUCUCUGCCAUGCUGACAGCAAGCAACUAUAUCUUGGAUGCUAAUCUCGGGCUCAUUGCUAUUUUAGUCUCAUUAUUGGGUAGAGUAGGCUCUGUUUGAUGGCAGGUCGCUUGUGAUGGCUGCGUCAGGCACACUCUGAAGUCCCAGAGGGAAGCAGAGCAGAGGGUACUGCAUAUUCAUGCAUGGGCCCCUCUUCCCCUUCAAUGCAGUGACUCGCUGGGCUGACCUGGCCCUGGCAGAUGUUGUGCUGGGAAGAUCUCAGGGCAGGUUGGACUAGGCUCGGAAGAAAGGGUGGCACAGCUGUGGCUAGGGGACACCUGAAGGUGUCCAGUGUGGACUAAAACUGGGGUGCUGGAGCUCAGCAGGGACUCGGGAAGCUCACAAGCCUGGGCUGCAGGAGAGGGAGCUCCCUGGGCUGUGCUGUAUGAACUGAUGACUUCUGUCCGGAUCAGAGAUCAGGAGGGUAGAACACAGACUGCCCAGCCAGAGCUGAUGUGUGAGGGGAGUCCCAGCUCCAGCCCUACAACUAAUGUUGAGUGAAUCAAGUUUCAAGUGGUCACUGGAUACAAAUUGCCCCAGGGAGAGACUUUGUGAAGGGGCAGCUACAACUAUAACUACUACUUAAUGCCUUGUAAAUCUGAAUCCUCAUGUUCUGUCUCUUGUGCCAUUAAUGCAACUGGUGUAUUACUUAAUUUGGCCCUUUCUAUUCUGAAAUGCUGUCUGGGGAUAGCAAAAAUGAGAGAAAACAGCUCAGGUAAAGGAACCAGGUGUUUCAAAGGGCAAAGGGGGUGGGGGGUGUUCAGGUAGCCUGAAUAUCUGCAGAGAGGAAAUGUCUUGCAUCACAGCCAUGAGGGACAAAGAAACUUUGGAGUCCUGUAAGUAUGAAAAGCAAGUUAGGGAGGAAUGGUGAUAAUGGAAACAGGAAACCUAAAAAGCAGGGCAGCUCUGAAAAGGAACACAAAAGGUCUGAAGAUCUGUGAGUGGGGAAUUCUGCUGUUCUGUCAUCCCAAGGAUGUCUGGGACAACAGCAAAAACAAUUUAAAUUCUUUGCAAAUCAAGUAUACAGGAAGUGUUGGAAAGAAUAAAAGUGUUAGUACUUUUGCCCUGGAGAGGAAA